CGGCACGGGUGAGUAACACGUAUGCAAUCCACCUGUAACAGGGGGAUAACCCGGAGAAAUCCGGACUAAUACCCCAUAAUAUGGGCGCUCCGCAUGGAGAGUCCAUUAAAGAGAGCAAUCUUGGUUACAGACGAGCAUGCGCUCCAUUAGCCAGUUGGCGGGGUAACGGCCCACCAAGGCGACGAUGGGUAGGGGUUCUGAGAGGAAGGUCCCCCACAUUGGAACUGAGACACGGUCCAA
RNAcentral lists this ribosomal RNA (240 nucleotides) under uncultured bacterium. RNAcentral describes it as "partial 16S ribosomal RNA". It matches the Rfam family "Bacterial small subunit ribosomal RNA", at positions 100 to 334 of the family's 1533-position model. The record is from RNAcentral.